UACGGAGGAUGCGAGCGUUAUCCGGAUUUAUUGGGUUUAAAGGGUGCGUAGGCGGACGCUUAAGUCAGCGGUAAAAUUACGGGGCUCAACCUCGUCGAGCCGUUGAAACUGGGUGCCUUGAGUGGGCGAGAAGUACGCGGAAUGCGCGGUGUAGCGGUGAAAUGCAUAGAUAUCACGCAGAACUCCGAUUGCGAAGGCAGCGUACCGGCGCCCUACUGACGCUGAAGCACGAAGGCGUGGGUAUCGAACAGG
Molecule: ribosomal RNA, 252 nt
Filed under: uncultured bacterium
Lineage: Bacteria
Description: partial 16S ribosomal RNA
Rfam family: Bacterial small subunit ribosomal RNA
Source: RNAcentral